AACGAACGCUGGCGGCAUGCCUAACACAUGCAAGUCGAACGAGACCUUCGGGUCUAGUGGCGCACGGGUGCGUAACGCGUGGGAACCUGCCCUUAGGUUCGGAAUAACUCCCCGAAAGGGGUGCUAAUACCGGAUAAUGUCUUCGGACCAAAGAUUUAUCGCCUUUGGAUGGGCCCGCGUUGGAUUAGCUAGUUGGUAGGGUAAAAGCCUACCAAGGCGACGAUCCAUAGCUGGUCUGAGAGGAUGAUCAGCCACACUGGGACUGAGACACGGCCCAGACUCCUACGGGAAGCAGCAGUGGGGAAUGUUGGACAAUGGGCGAAAGCCUGAUCCAGCAAUGCCGCGUGAGUGAUGAAGGCCUUAGGGUUGUAAAGCUCUUUUACCCGGGAUGAUAAUGACAGUACCGGGAGAAUAAGCUCCGGCUAACUCCGUG
This 433-nucleotide ribosomal RNA is filed under the name uncultured bacterium. Its description in RNAcentral is "partial 16S ribosomal RNA". It matches the Rfam family "Bacterial small subunit ribosomal RNA", at positions 29 to 507 of the family's 1533-position model. The record is from RNAcentral.